GGUAAAAUGGCUGAGGAAUAAGCAUUGAACUGUAAAUUCAAAGACAGAGGUAGAAUCUCUUUUUACCA
RNAcentral lists this transfer RNA (68 nucleotides) under Pseudantechinus bilarni (Sandstone dibbler). RNAcentral's name for it is "tRNA-Tyr". It matches the Rfam family "tRNA". From Rfam's summary of the family: Transfer RNA (tRNA) molecules are approximately 80 nucleotides in length. Their secondary structure includes four short double-helical elements and three loops (D, anti-codon, and T loops). Further hydrogen bonds mediate the characteristic L-shaped molecular structure. tRNAs have two regions of fundamental functional importance: the anti-codon, which is responsible for specific mRNA codon recognition, and the 3' end, to which the tRNAs corresponding amino acid is attached (by aminoacyl-tRNA synthetases). tRNAs cope with the degeneracy of the genetic code in two manners: having more than one tRNA (with a specific anti-codon) for a particular amino acid; and 'wobble' base-pairing, i.e. permitting non-standard base-pairing at the 3rd anti-codon position. Lineage: Eukaryota; Metazoa; Chordata; Mammalia; Dasyuromorphia; Dasyuridae. The record is from RNAcentral.